UACAGAGGUCCCGAGCGUUGUUCGGAUUUAUUGGGCGUAAAGGGUGCGUAGGCGGCGGAGUAAGUUGGGUGUGAAAUCCCGGGGCUCAACCUCGGAAUGGCAUUCAAUACUGCUUCGCUAGAGUACUGGAGAGGAGGCUGGAAUUUACGGUGUAGCAGUGAAAUGCGUAGAUAUCGUAAGGAAGGCCGGUGGCGAAAGCGAGCCUCUGGACAGUUACUGACACUGAGGCACGAAGGCCAGGGGAGCAAACGGG
Molecule: ribosomal RNA, 253 nt
Filed under: uncultured bacterium
Lineage: Bacteria
Description: partial 16S ribosomal RNA
Rfam family: Bacterial small subunit ribosomal RNA
Source: RNAcentral